This 357-nucleotide long non-coding RNA is filed under the name Setaria viridis. Its description in RNAcentral is "long non-coding RNA (SVIR_LNC009340)". The record is from RNAcentral. Lineage: Eukaryota; Viridiplantae; Streptophyta; Magnoliopsida; Poales; Poaceae.
UUUUCUUUUGCCCCUUCUUUUUCUAGCUUUUCUUUGCUAGGCGUCUUUGAUUGAGGGGGAGUUCGGCUUCAUUUGACGGGGAGUUUGGACCAAGACUUGGUUUGGUUUUUGAAACCCGCUUUUGAUCUUUUAAUUGGUAUCACAUUUGAUCGUUCAAUUGUAUUUCAUUUUCUUCAAGUGAUAUCAAUUUUUUAUCCUUCAAUUGGUAUCUUUUCUAUGGUACUCAAUUGGGAUCCUUGGCGGUUCUUCUUUUGCCAUGGAGCUUUUCAUAGAUUGGUUUGACCCCUCAUGAGCUUUCUUGAUUUGAGUCGAACCCCGUCUCUUUUAGCAUCGCAUUGCAUUUGUAUCAUAUUGCAC